RNAcentral lists this ribosomal RNA (301 nucleotides) under uncultured bacterium. RNAcentral describes it as "partial 16S ribosomal RNA". It matches the Rfam family "Bacterial small subunit ribosomal RNA", at positions 509 to 807 of the family's 1533-position model. The record is from RNAcentral.
CAGUCGCCACGGGAACACGGAGGGUGCAAGCGUUAUCCGGAUUUAUUGGGUUUAAAGGGUCCGUAGGCGGACUUAUAAGUCAGUGGUGAAAGCCUGUCGCUUAACGAUAGAACUGCCAUUGAUACUGUAAGUCUUGAGUAUAUUUGAGGUAGCUGGAAUAAGUAGUGUAGCGGUGAAAUGCAUAGAUAUUACUUAGAACACCAAUUGCGAAGGCAGGUUACCAAGAUAUAACUGACGCUGAGGGACGAAAGCGUGGGUAGCGAACAGGAUUAGAUACCCCAGUAGUCCCUGUCUCUUAUAC